RNAcentral lists this ribosomal RNA (253 nucleotides) under uncultured bacterium. RNAcentral describes it as "partial 16S ribosomal RNA". It matches the Rfam family "Bacterial small subunit ribosomal RNA", at positions 524 to 776 of the family's 1533-position model. The record is from RNAcentral.
UACGAAGGGUGCAAGCGUUACUCGGAAUUACUGGGCGUAAAGCGUGCGUAGGUGGUCUCUUAAGUCCGUUGUGAAAGCCCCGGGCUCAACCUGGGAAUGGCAGCGGAUACUGGGAGGCUAGAGUGCGGUAGAGGGUAGUGGAAUUCCCGGUGUAGCGGUGAAAUGCGUAGAGAUCGGGAGGAACACCAGUGGCGAAGGCGGCUACCUGGACCAGCACUGACACUGAGGCACGAAAGCGUGGGGAGCAAACAGG